Molecule: ribosomal RNA, 492 nt
Filed under: uncultured bacterium
Lineage: Bacteria
Description: partial 16S ribosomal RNA
Rfam family: Bacterial small subunit ribosomal RNA
Source: RNAcentral
AGUGAACGCUGGCGGUAGGCCUAACACAUGCAAGUCGAACGGCAGCACAGUAAGAGCUUGCUCUUACGGGUGGCGAGUGGCGGACGGGUGAGGAAUACAUCGGAAUCUACUUUUUCGUGGGGUAUAACGUAGGGAAACUUACGCUAAUACCGCAUACGACCUACGGGUGAAAGCAGGGGAUCUUCGGACCUUGCGCGAUUGAAUGAGCCGAUGUCGGAUUAGCUAGUUGGCGGGGUAAAGGCCCACCAAGGCGACGAUCCGUAGCUGGUCUGAGAGGAUGAUCAGCCACACUGGAACUGAGACACGGUCCAGACUCCUAAGGGAGGCAGAAGUGGGGAAUAUUGGACAAUGGGCGCAAGCCUGAUCCAGCCAUACCGCGUGGGUGAAGAAGGCCUUCGGGUUGUAAAGCCCUUUUGUUGGGAAAGAAAAGCAGCAGGUUAAUAACCAGCUGUUCUGACGGUACCCAAAGAAUAAGCACCGGCUAACUUCGUG